GUAGCCCCGGCCCCGCGUCCUUACCCUGCCGACGGCUGCUCGGCUCCGGCCCGCGGCGGCGGCCCCAGAGCCGAGGACCGGGGUGGGCUCGCGCUCUUCGUCACUGGAGAAGUCCGGGGGCCCCUUGCUGUUGGUGCCGGCGGGGAGCGGCGGCCGGUUGCGAGCCGUGAGGUGCUGCAGACCGAGGGGUCUUCCAGGAACUCCGGCAUCUCGGGGAUCUGCGAAGCCCCCUCCCCACAGCCUUUGCCGCCGCCGCUCACGCCGGCGCGCUUGCUCCUGGCCGGGGACCGCGCUGCCGCCUCCGAGCCUCACGGCUCCUGCCCGGGAAGAGCGCUGCGGAGCGGAACAAAAACUCGCGGACACAAAGCCAAGCCAGACCCGGACACAAAAGACCCCAGAGCCGAACUACGAACCAACUGCGGCCAAGCUGGAAGCUCGCACCAACCCCAGCCCACACACUACAGGCAGGAGGCGAGCAGCCUGCUUCGCCCACGCCCCAAGAACGCGCGCCGCCAUUGGCGGGCGACGGGAGGAAGCGCGGCGGUGAUUGGCGAGACGGCUCGCGCGGGUUCCAUUAGCCGCCGCGCUGAGCGAGAGGAGGUAGAAACGCAGUUUAAAAGGCGCUGGGGCGGGAGCCGAGGCUCCCGGCCCGCUUCUGUUUUCGUUUUCUCCACCCUUCCCCUUAGACGCCGAUAAGGGACAGGUCGUACUGCUUUUGUGCGCCGUUUCCUCUCCCUCCCCCAGCUUGAGAAGCAGCUUUCGUCUCUGGGGUCGAUCGCCUACGAACGCGCCGAAUUCCACGCCAGUGUGAGGACCCUUGGCUGGGCCUUUCUUCCUCCCGGGACACUGAAGCUCCAAGAGUAGCCGCAGCCUUGCCUUCCCCAAACGCUAGCCCUGAAGGGGAAGAAAAGAAGCGAGGCUUGUCUGCAGGCACUCAUAUUCCUUGAUUUGAUUUACUUUGGGAGGGGGAGGGCGGGGAGUUACCCCUCUCCUCGCGAACGCUUCUUUUGUUCCAGAAACCCAGGGGAAGCCAGACCUCUACAAUCGGGCACUUAAAUUACCCUUGAAUUUGUGACAAAAGUGUACUAUACCAUUCACUUCUUAGUGUCAUAGUUGGGGCAUGUCUAAAUUGUUUAAUUUGAACAGUGCGUUCAGACGCAAGACAAAUUCGCGCUUGCAU
Molecule: long non-coding RNA, 1180 nt
Filed under: Homo sapiens (human)
Lineage: Eukaryota; Metazoa; Chordata; Mammalia; Primates; Hominidae
Description: non-protein coding TMPO-AS1:4
Source: RNAcentral